GACGAACGCUGGCGGCGUGCCUAAUACAUGCAAGUAGAACGCACAGUUUAUACCGUAGCUUGCUACACCAUAGACUGUGAGUUGCGAACGGGUGAGUAACGCGUAGGUAACCUGCCUGGUAGCGGGGGAUAACUAUUGGAAACGAUAGCUAAUACCGCAUAAUAUUGAUUAUUGCAUGAUAAUUGAUUGAAAGAUGCUAUUGCAUCACUACCAGAUGGACCUGCGUUGUACUAGCUAGUAGGUGAGGUAACGGCUCACCUAGGCGACGAUACAUAGCCGACCUGAGAGGGUGAUCGGCCACACUGGGACUGAGACACGGCCCAGACUCCUACGGGAGGCAGCAGUAGGGAAUCUUCGGCAAUGGACGAAAGUCUGACCGAGCAACGCCGCGUGAGUGAAGAAGGUUUUCGGAUCGUAAAGCUCUGUUGUAAGAGAAGAACGGGUGUGAGAGUGGAAGGUUCACACUGUGACGGUAUCUUACCAGAAAGGGACGGCUAACUACGUG
Molecule: ribosomal RNA, 505 nt
Filed under: uncultured bacterium
Lineage: Bacteria
Description: partial 16S ribosomal RNA
Rfam family: Bacterial small subunit ribosomal RNA
Source: RNAcentral